CUUACAAGGUGAAGGUGCUGCCCACCCAUGAUGCCAGCAAGGUGCGUGCAAGUGGAUCCGGCCUUAAACCACUGGAGUGCCCAGCUCUCUGCCAGUGAAGUUCAACAUUGAUGGCAAAGAUGCAGGACCCAGACGGGAAGCCCAAGAAGCAAAUAUCUGUGACAACCAUGAUGGGACCUACCUGGUGUCUUAUGUGCCAGACAUGACUGACAGCUGAAGCAGACCUAGAUGCUGUUUGUGAAGCCUGUC
Long non-coding RNA from Oreochromis niloticus (Nile tilapia), 249 nucleotides. RefSeq lists it as uncharacterized. The transcript has 3 exons. The record is from RefSeq and is a predicted model, not a curated record. NCBI's taxonomy places the organism in Eukaryota, Metazoa, Chordata, Actinopteri, Cichliformes, Cichlidae.